RNAcentral lists this ribosomal RNA (425 nucleotides) under uncultured bacterium. RNAcentral describes it as "partial 16S ribosomal RNA". It matches the Rfam family "Bacterial small subunit ribosomal RNA", at positions 354 to 796 of the family's 1533-position model. The record is from RNAcentral.
GUGGGGAAUCUUAGACAAUGGGCGCAAGCCUGAUCUAGCCAUGCCGCGUGAGCGAUGAAGGCCUUAGGGUUGUAAAGCUCUUUCGUGGGGGAAGAUAAUGACUGUACCCCAAGAAGAAGCCCCGGCUAACUUCGUGCCAGCAGCCGCGGUAAUACGAAGGGGGCUAGCGUUGCUCGGAAUCACUGGGCGUAAAGCGCACGUAGGCGGCUUUCUAAGUCAGGGGUGAAAUCCUGGAGCUCAACUCCAGAACUGCCUUUGAUAAUGGAGAGCUUGAGUUCGGGAGAGGUGAGUGGAACUGCGAGUGUAGAGGUGAAAUUCGUAGAUAUUCGCAAGGACACCAGUGGCGAAGGCGGCUCACUGGCCCGAUACUGACGCUGAGGUGCGAAAGCGUGGGGAGCAAACAGGAUUAGAAACCCCAGUAGUCC